CGCAGUGAUGGUGUAAUUUGCGUCCGACCCCGUUGACCGGCGACAGUAUGCCUGCUGUCACACGCCGUCACUGGAGGCUGACGAACACUGAGUCUGAGCG
Conger conger (European conger) is the source of this 100-nucleotide small nucleolar RNA. RefSeq annotates it as small nucleolar RNA SNORD16. The record is from RefSeq and is a predicted model, not a curated record. NCBI's taxonomy places the organism in Eukaryota, Metazoa, Chordata, Actinopteri, Anguilliformes, Congridae. The transcript has a single exon.